This is a non-coding RNA of Acanthosepion pharaonis, 99 nucleotides long. The record is from the annotation of a GenBank genome assembly. Lineage: Eukaryota; Metazoa; Mollusca; Cephalopoda; Sepiida; Sepiidae.
CGUUGUAACACCAGAUCUCCUAUGAUCACCGAAAUGAAGCAUAGUCGCCCUUUGUCAGUACCUAGAUGGGUGACUGCUUGGGAAUAUCACAUGCUGUAA